GACGAAGGGGGCUAGCGUUGUUCGGAAUUACUGGGCGUAAAGCGAGUGUAGGUGGUUGUCCAAGUUGGAUGUGAAAGCCUUGAGCUCAACUCAAGAAAUGCAUUCAGGACUGGGCGGCUAGAGGACCGGAGAGGAUAGUGGAAUUCCCAGUGUAGUGGUGAAAUACGUAGAGAUUGGGAAGAACACCAGUGGCGAAGGCGGCUAUCUGGACGGUUUCUGACACUAAGGUGCGAAAGCGUGGGGAGCAAACAGG
Molecule: ribosomal RNA, 253 nt
Filed under: uncultured bacterium
Lineage: Bacteria
Description: partial 16S ribosomal RNA
Rfam family: Bacterial small subunit ribosomal RNA
Source: RNAcentral